GCGGACGGGUGAGUAAUGCUUAUGAAUCUGCCUAUUAGUGGGGGACAACAUCUCGAAAGGGAUGCUAAUACCGCAUACGUCCUACGGGAGAAAGCAGGGGAUCUUCGGACCUUGCGCUAAUAGAUGAGCCUAAGUCGGAUUAGCUAGUUGGUGGGGUAAAGGCCUACCAAGGCGACGAUCUGUAGCGGGUCUGAGAGGAUGAUCCGCCACACUGGGACUGAGACACGGCCCAGACUCCUACGGGAGGCAGCAGUGGGGAAUAUUGGACAAUGGGGGGAACCCUGAUCCAGCCAUGCCGCGUGUGUGAAGAAGGCCUUAUGGUUGUAAAGCACUUUAAGCGAGGAGGAGGCUACUCUAGUUAAUACCUAGGGAUAGUGGACGUUACUCGCAGAAUAAGCACCGGCUAACUCUGUGCCAGCAGCCGCGGUAAUACAGAGGGUGCGAGCGUUAAUCGGAUUUACUGGGCGUAAAGCGUGCGUACGCGGCUUAUUAAGUCGGAUGUGAAAUCCCCGAG
Molecule: ribosomal RNA, 514 nt
Filed under: Acinetobacter baumannii
Lineage: Bacteria; Pseudomonadati; Pseudomonadota; Gammaproteobacteria; Moraxellales; Moraxellaceae
Description: bacterial SSU rRNA
Rfam family: Bacterial small subunit ribosomal RNA
Source: RNAcentral